This 102-nucleotide Y RNA is filed under the name Propithecus coquereli (Coquerel's sifaka). RNAcentral describes it as "Y RNA (ENSPCOG00000008017.1)". It matches the Rfam family "Y RNA". Rfam says of the family: Y RNAs are components of the Ro ribonucleoprotein particle (Ro RNP), in association with Ro60 and La proteins. The record is from Rfam by way of RNAcentral. Lineage: Eukaryota; Metazoa; Chordata; Mammalia; Primates; Indriidae.
GACUGGUCGGAGUGCAGUGGUAUUUACAACUAAUUGAUCACAAUCGUUACAGAUUACUUUGUUCCUUUUCCAUUCCUACUGCUUCAACUUGACUAGCCUUUA